UGAAUUUGCUGAAUUGAAAAA
Molecule: non-coding RNA, 21 nt
Filed under: Caenorhabditis elegans
Lineage: Eukaryota; Metazoa; Nematoda; Chromadorea; Rhabditida; Rhabditidae
Source: RNAcentral